This 450-nucleotide ribosomal RNA is filed under the name uncultured bacterium. RNAcentral describes it as "bacterial SSU rRNA". It matches the Rfam family "Bacterial small subunit ribosomal RNA", at positions 328 to 794 of the family's 1533-position model. The record is from RNAcentral.
AAGCCAGACUCCUACGGGAGGCAGCAGUGGGGGAUAUUGCACAAUGGGGGGAACCCUGAUGCAGCGACGCCGCGUGGGUGAAGGAGUAUUUCGGUAUGUAAAGCACUAUCGGCAGGGAAGAAGCAAGACGGUACCUGACUAAGAAGCCCCGGCUAACUACGUGCCAGCAGCCGCGGUAAUACGUAGGGGGCGAGCGUGAUCCGGAUUCACUGGGUGUAAAGGGAGCGUAGACGGCCAAGCAAGCCAGGGGUGAAAGCCCGGGGCCCAACCCCGGGACUGCCCUUGGAACUGCUUGGCUGGAGUGCGGGAGGGGCAGGCGGAAUUCCUGGUGUAGCGGCGAAAUGCGUAGAUAUCAGGAGGAACACCGGCGGCGAAGGCGGCCUGCUGGACUGCAACUGACGUUGAGGCCCGAAAGCGUGGGGAGCAAACAGGAUUAGAUACCCCCGUAUU